Molecule: long non-coding RNA, 1120 nt
Organism: Carassius auratus (goldfish)
Lineage: Eukaryota; Metazoa; Chordata; Actinopteri; Cypriniformes; Cyprinidae
Exons: 7
Source: RefSeq, a predicted model, not a curated record
AUCAUUCCUGUUUGGUCUCCUAUUCUGCAGGACUUGACUUCGCUCUCUGUGUCCCGGAUGGUCAUCAUGGUGCUUGAUACAAGUAUCAGGAGGACAGCGCGUUUGUUUGAAGCACUUUUCACUUCAACUGUGUCUGACAGGAGAAUUGGCUUUUCUGAGGCUACUAGCCGUUGAGAGUUACCAUGGCAACCGCGGACACAUCAGCUGCUGGAGAGGACUCGUCUGACAGUUUCUCUGUUUCUUGUCAGUUUGGUUAUACCAAAGAAAAGUUAAACAACUGCGACAGAUUGGAUAAGAGUGUCUUAAAAACCCUCUAAAACAGAGGGGAAGUUCCAGGAAAAUUUGUAAUGGAAGCUCCUGACAGAUAGAAAACACAGUUUGUUUAUUUCUAAUAAGGAGCUGGAGGCUGUGCAGAAGCAGAUCCGUGACCUUGUGGAGAAGCAGGCUCAGCUGAGCGAGUGGAGAGCUGUUAUGGAAAUAUUCUGGGGUUGAUGCUCAUAAGUCCAGGGUAAGUAUAUAGCUAACCCUACUACCACCUCUACUCUGUGUGGUUCUCUGCACAGGUUCGGUGCACCGAGGACGCGAUCUUCCCAAAUGUCUUCAGCAUUAAGACAUGAGCCAGGAACUGGGCGAUGACCUCUCUACUUCCAACGCCUCCAGUCUUGAGGAUCUCCACCCGCAGGAGCUUCACUUCACGAGACAGAACACGACACUGUGAUCAUCGGAGACUCCAUCGUCCGACACAUACCUGUGAUCCUGAAGGCCGACGAGAGCCCCAGAGCGUUCGUGCUUCACGCCGGGGUUAAUGACACCACGCUGCGGCAGACGGAGACGCUGAAGAGGGACUUCAGGAGUCUGAUCGAGACGGUUCAUGUCAGGACCACUGUUCACAUAUCGACAAGGACACGAAAGGGCAGUUUGUGAAGACAGAUAAUCAAGAGAAGUCAGUUCCAGAUCCACCCUCCACAACAGACCUCUCUCUCUCACGAGGAUUGCUGUCUACUAGCAUAUUGUGUUCUCUUCAGACUUCGGGGGAUGCAGAUAUUACUCAGGGACACGAACACUUGAAUAUUGAAAGAAUAAAGAAAGUAAGAAUUACUUAAGAUUUUAGAAUUUAAUG